GACGAACGCUGGCGGCGUGCCUAAUACAUGCAAGUAGAACGCACAGUUUAUACCGUAGCUUGCUACACCAUACACUGUGAGUUGCGAACGGGUGAGUAACGCGUAGGUAACCUGCCUGGUAGCGGGGGAUAACUAUUGGAAACGAUAGCUAAUACCGCAUAAUAUUGAUUAUUGCAUGAUAAUUGAUUGAAAGAUGCUAUUGCAUCACUACCAGAUGGACCUGCGUUGUAUUAGCUAGUAGGUGAGGUAACGGCUCACCUAGGCGACGAUACAUAGCCGACCUGAGAGGGUGAUCGGCCACACUGGGACUGAGACACGGCCCAGACUCCUACGGGAGGCAGCAGUAGGGAAUCUUCGGCAAUGGACGAAAGUCUGACCGAGCAACGCCGCGUGAGUGAAGAAGGUUGUCGGAUCGUAAAGCUCUGUUGUAAGAGAAGAACGGGUGCGAGAGUGGAAAGUUCACACUGUGACGGUAUCUUACCAGAAAGGGACGGCUAACUACGUG
Molecule: ribosomal RNA, 505 nt
Filed under: uncultured bacterium
Lineage: Bacteria
Description: partial 16S ribosomal RNA
Rfam family: Bacterial small subunit ribosomal RNA
Source: RNAcentral